CCCACGCUUGUGUCCUCUCCCUGCCAAACUUUUCAUCACAGCUGCUGCUGCUUUUCUAAUUUAAAGACCAGAUUCACUGGAAAUAAUUUACUGAAGAUUGUUUAUGGGGGCAGCAUAUUCACCGAAAAGAUAACAUAGAGGAGCAAGAGGAGAAGGGCUGUAGGCGAAGAAGACUUGACUGAGAGAGAUCACCAGGCAGGUGUCCAAUUUAUUUAA
Long non-coding RNA from Mauremys reevesii (Reeves's turtle), 216 nucleotides. RefSeq lists it as uncharacterized. Lineage: Eukaryota; Metazoa; Chordata; Testudines; Geoemydidae. The record is from RefSeq and is a predicted model, not a curated record. The transcript has 3 exons.